This 380-nucleotide ribosomal RNA is filed under the name uncultured cyanobacterium. RNAcentral describes it as "bacterial SSU rRNA". It matches the Rfam family "Bacterial small subunit ribosomal RNA", at positions 376 to 770 of the family's 1533-position model. Lineage: Bacteria; Bacillati; Cyanobacteriota. The record is from RNAcentral.
CGAAAGCCUGACGGAGCAAGACCGCGUGGGGGAGGAAGGCUCUAGGGUUGUAAACCCCUUUUAUCUGGGAAGAACAAAAUGACGGUACCAGAUGAAUAAGCCUCGGCUAACUCCGUGCCAGCAGCCGCGGUAAUACGGAGGAGGCAAGCGUUAUCCGGAAUGAUUGGGCGUAAAGCGUCCGCAGGUGGCAAUGUAAGUCUGCUGUCAAAACCCAGGGCUCAACUCUGGUCAGGCAGUGGAAACUACAUAGCUAGAGUUCGGUAGGGGCAAAGGGAAUUCCCGGUGUAGCGGUGAAAUGCGUAGAGAUCGGGAAGAACAUCGGUGGCGAAAGCGCUCUGCUGGGCCGCAACUGACACUCAGGGACGAAAGCUAGGGGAGCG